UCCUCCGUUGUGCUUUUUACAACGAGAGGCCGUAUUCUAUCUUUAAAAUAAAGUAAGUUCUGGUAAUUUUAAAUGGUUUUAUUUAUUAUAUUUAGUAAAAUGGAUAACGUUAACUUGAAGCGGGUUAUUUAUUUUUGGCUUUCUUUUCCUUAACAGAACGCUUGUGUGCUCGUAAUUUAUACUUUGUCUACGAGUCCCGUAAUAUUAUCGGGAGAGGAACCCCUGUCCAAGGGAUAGGGGUUUUUACCUGGAGAAUAAAGUGUAAACCAAA
This is a long non-coding RNA of Pecten maximus, 271 nucleotides long. RefSeq lists it as uncharacterized. NCBI's taxonomy places the organism in Eukaryota, Metazoa, Mollusca, Bivalvia, Pectinida, Pectinidae. The record is from RefSeq and is a predicted model, not a curated record. The transcript has 2 exons.